GGUCCCGUAGCUCAGUUGGUCAGAGCACCGCCUUUACACGGCGGGUGUCCCCGGUUCGAGCCCGGGCGGGACCA
Molecule: transfer RNA, 74 nt
Filed under: Bifidobacterium pullorum subsp. saeculare
Lineage: Bacteria; Bacillati; Actinomycetota; Actinomycetes; Bifidobacteriales; Bifidobacteriaceae
Description: Bifidobacterium saeculare tRNA
Rfam family: tRNA
About the family: Transfer RNA (tRNA) molecules are approximately 80 nucleotides in length. Their secondary structure includes four short double-helical elements and three loops (D, anti-codon, and T loops). Further hydrogen bonds mediate the characteristic L-shaped molecular structure. tRNAs have two regions of fundamental functional importance: the anti-codon, which is responsible for specific mRNA codon recognition, and the 3' end, to which the tRNAs corresponding amino acid is attached (by aminoacyl-tRNA synthetases). tRNAs cope with the degeneracy of the genetic code in two manners: having more than one tRNA (with a specific anti-codon) for a particular amino acid; and 'wobble' base-pairing, i.e. permitting non-standard base-pairing at the 3rd anti-codon position.
Source: Rfam by way of RNAcentral